ACAACAGUUGGAAACGACUGCUAAUACCGCAUAAGCCCACAGCUCGGCAUCGAGCAGAGGGAAAAGGAGCAAUCCGCUUUGAGAUGGCCUCGCGUCCGAUUAGCUAGUUGGUGAGGUAACGGCCCACCAAGGCGACGAUCGGUAGCCGGACUGAGAGGUUGAACGGCCACAUUGGGACUGAGACACGGCCCAGACUCCUACGGGAGGCAGCAGUGGGGAAUAUUGCACAAUGGGGGAAACCCUGAUGCAGCGACGCCGCGUGGAGGAAGAAGGUCUUCGGAUUGUAAACUCCUGUUGUUGAGGAAGAUAAUGACGGUACUCAACAAGGAAGUGACGGCUAACUACGUGCCAGCAGCCGCGGUAAAACGUAGGUCACAAGCGUUGUCCGGAAUUACUGGGUGUAAAGGGAGCGCAGGCGGGAAGACAAGUUGGAAGUGAAAUCCAUGGGCUCAACCCAUGAACUGCUUUCAAAACUGUUUUUCUUGAGUAGUGCAGAGGUAGGCGGAAUUCCCGGUGUAGCGGUGGAAUGCGUAGAUAUCGGGAGGAACACCAGUGGCGAAGGCGGCCUACUGGGCACCAACUGACGCUGAGGCUCGAAAGUGUGGGUAGCAAACAGGAUUAGAUACCCUGGUAGUCCACACUGU
This 644-nucleotide ribosomal RNA is filed under the name uncultured bacterium. RNAcentral's name for it is "bacterial SSU rRNA". It matches the Rfam family "Bacterial small subunit ribosomal RNA", at positions 143 to 803 of the family's 1533-position model. The record is from RNAcentral.